This 253-nucleotide ribosomal RNA is filed under the name uncultured bacterium. RNAcentral's name for it is "partial 16S ribosomal RNA". It matches the Rfam family "Bacterial small subunit ribosomal RNA", at positions 524 to 776 of the family's 1533-position model. The record is from RNAcentral.
UACGGAGGAUCCAAGCGUUAUCCGGAUUUAUUGGGUUUAAAGGGUGCGUAGGCGGAGUAGUAAGUCAGUGGUGAAAGCCUGCAGCUUAACUGUAGAAUUGCCAUUGAUACUGCUAAUCUUGAGUACAUAUGAAGUGGGCGGAAUGUGUCAUGUAGCGGUGAAAUGCUUAGAUAUGACACAGAACACCGAUUGCGAAGGCAGCUCACUGAACUGUAACUGACGCUGAGGCACGAAAGCAUGGGGAGCAAACAGG